GGCAAAAAGGCCACUGCGUUCCCUGCAAUGUGCGACAAGCUGUCAGAUAAAAGUGAAAUCGAGAACAGGGUAGUGGUUGAUGGCAACCUCAUCACCAGCAGAGGACCAGGAACUUCCAUGGAGUUUGCUCUAGGAAUUGUUGAGAAGUUUUUCGGGCGCAAGAAAGCAAUAGAGCUUGCUAAGGUAAUGCUUUUUGUUCACCCUUAAGAGUUUUUGGUAAGCGUUAAAUGUGUACCUCCUUACUUUUGGGACACUACUAGCAAAAGCAGAAAGCUGGAGUCAUAUUUGAGUAUGAAUCCUUUGUGAGGUUAUGUUCAAGAUUUUGUAUAUAAAUAAAUGUGUAAACGACUGAAUUAUGAUAAAGCUAUGGUUAGUAUCUCUAAUUUCGCUGUCUAUAAAAGAGUUACUUCUCAUAUUAUUAUUUUUCUUUUUAAACAAAAAGUACAGCUAAUCUUAGCCAAAGUUUGAUACCUAAACCUCUCUCUCGAGUUGAACUUGAAACCCUUCUUAGUACUACAAUUCGGCUAAAACAGCACUUCUUAGCAUACACCCCAGACGUUAAUGGUGUUUUUGGGCCUUAGGCAGUAUAGUCUUUGGCAGUAGGAUAUUUUUUCUUAUAUUUUUUGUAUUUACUUGAACUAAUUGGCAUUGGAAUUACUAAGAAAGUGUCUGCUAAGUGCCAAUCUCCUCAAAAAUACAAAUUAAAAAUUCAAGAACUUGAUGUAUUGAGUUGAAGUUAUGAAGGAAAGUGGCUGCUAGCCAAGUGCCCAUCUCCUCAAAUAGGAUAAGAAUGAAAAACAAAGUGUUUGCAUUCCUUUGAAAGGAAUAUACAAUAGCUGAGGAAUGUUCUGUAAUGGGACAACUCGACAUAUCUCAUUAAUCGGUUUAAUUAAGAGAGUCGAUUUUCUCACUCCUCUUUUGUUUAUUUACACUCUUUUUUGUUUUUUGUUUUUUGUUUUUAAUACUUUUGUAAUUACAGUGUACUGAAAAGGGAGUGGAAAAAUCACCACCCUUAAUUAUCCGUUUAACAAUAAGACAUGUCAAAUCACGGAGUGGAAAGAUCACAACCCUAAAUUGAUUCAUUUUAUGUUGAAAUUCAAACGUGUUUAAUACAGAAAAUUCAUUUCUAUAUUGACGAUGCCCAACAAAAACAAAAAAAAAUUGUCAAAGGAAACGAUUUCAUUACCAAAUUAUAUCGGCUGUUGCAACACGUGGGAAGAUCUUUUCGUUAACUUGACUUUUUCCGGGUGUAUGCAAUAUUUUCCCAGUCCGAAUUCAUGCAUAUGUGAAGGUUUCUCAACCCCCCUCCCUUUCUUUUGGUUGUAAAAUAUCACCAAUUAUGUGGUUGUUUACUUAAUAUUUUUAUUAAUUAAUUUCUUUAAAAUUGGGGAAUUUAAGGGUAGCAUCCAAGUAACUUUUAACUCUUAUAUAAAAAGAAGUCUAAAGAUAAAGAAAAGACAUACUCAAUUUUAUCUAACUUUUUUUUUUUUAUCAAAUCAAAAUUUUUUUGUUUAGAACUGUAUGGGUGGGAGAAAUGUAAAUUUGUUGUUUUUAUUCUAAUUUUUAAGUUUGGUCUUUUCAUUUUACCCUGGUUUAAUAAUUCAUUUUUCUUUUAAAAUAUUAGCUAAGCAAGACAUUUGUUGGAAGAGAUUUUCUAUUUAAACCCCACACUUCUCUUUGUUCACAUCAUGUUAAGUUCACCCUAAGGAUACUUCAUGUUUAAAACUUUACAAAAGUUUACAAAACUCAAUAGGUCGGAUGAAAAUAAAACUAUUGUGACAAAAUAUCUAAUAGUAAGAGAUCAAUAUACAUCAAAUGAACCGAUAAGCUCUUUCCAAUUGUCAGUGCAAUCUCGAUAUAGACUAUACCAAUCAAAUACUUUGAGGUUGGAAUUAUUUAGUUGUGUCAAAAUACUUUCUAUCCUAAUACUAUGGCUUGGAGUAAAAGUAUUUUGUUGUGUGCCACAAAAAAAGAAAAGAAACAUAACUCCAAUUAAAGAUUACUAUGCUAUAGAACACAUUAGAACUCCAAGAGAUUGCUUUGAUCCAUUACAGUAAUUCAAUAAAUUUUUGAUUGUCUUUUGUAUACAAUAACUCAAUAAAAUUAGAUGCGUGUUGAGCAAUAACUUGAGUGCAAAUAGUUUUAUCUGAAUUCAGAAAUAAUAUUGCAUAAGUGAGAAUAUACUCUGGCAUAGGCAGCUCUGCAUUCUCCAACAGACAUUUUGUAUGUCAUUUAAAUAAACACUACAAACUAUAGAAAAAGCAUAUAUCUAAACUGAAUAGUGGGGGAAAAGAUGAAGAAGGCCCCUAUUUUUUGAGAAGAAGAUGAAAGUUCCCAUGCUUGCCUCAAGAUAGACAGACUCGCUAACUAUUACAGUAUAUCGUUUACUGUCGAUGGAAAGAAAUCCUAGACCAAAUAAAAAUUUCUAAAUUAGAAAUUAAAUGAGGAGAUAAUUAUUGCAUUGUAGACAAGAGGGUGCAACUUACCUUGGCAAGACCAAAUUUCACUUACACAAAGGUACAGUAAUCAUCUACUGUCUACUUUUGAGCAUAUAAGAAGUUAAGUAAAUAUAAAAUUCUAAAUCAGAAAAAAAAAAAAAAAAACUAAGCAAUCAACAGUCAAGCAAUAAACAAAGGAAAGAGAAUAAGAUCAUUAUAGCCGAGCCUUUCCAUUAGCUCCUAUGCAGAUUUUAAAGAAGUAGGCUCCUCAAUGUUCUACAUCUUUAAAAGAGAAGAGUAAUGUGGCAAUAUGAUUAAGAGGAGUUUGUAUUUUUCUAAAACUUAAUAUGAAGAGUGAUGGGGUGUAUGUAUAGAUGUACUAGGGUUAAGUAUUAAGUUGGAUGACCGUUUUUGUCUUUUUAUAUAAUAAUAAAACUUACAGCUUAAUGAUUUAAGUAUUGGGGGUGAACAAAGAGAAAUGUGGGGUUUAAAUAGAAAAUCUCUUGUUGGAAUAACUUUUGACAAAUAGAUGAAGACUUAUGUUGCAUAAAGUUAAGCACGUGAUUGACCAAAAAAAAGUUAAGUGCAUGUGAGCGAUUUUUCAAAUUAAUAUAUUGAUCAUUAAUGUAUGUGUGACUCGUAUUUUAUCAACAAUUAGAGAUUUCUUACACACUCUCUUACGUAGUGUCAGUUUGGCAUUGCUUAUUUGGAAUGAUAAGUGAUUUUUAAAAAAAAAUUGGGAAGCCCAGCUUGUUUGGUAAAUUAUGAAAAAAAAUCACUUAUUGUUAAAAAUUGUUGUUAAAGAACGCUAUAAGGGAAAACAGCUAAUUAAGUGCUUUUAUUUUCUGAUUGUGCACCCAGAAAAUCUUUCACUUUCUCAUAGUAAAUCUGACAACGAUUAUUUUCACAACACAGCAAUGCCAAACUGGCCCGUACUUACCUUCACAAAACCUUUUGUAAAAGUAACACAAAAAUUUCACUCUUUUAUUCAUGUGGAGCUAGAAGUUCCUUCUUUUUGCUAUAAAAUAAUUGGGAGGGAUCAAAUAUAACACACAAAUAACUGAUCUAAACCAAGGUCACACACAUCCGCCCACGGGUUUAGCAAUAGAUUAGAUGCUGGCCUUCUAAUUUGACCAUGUUCCAAUUAUUUAUUCUAGUAAUCAUUCACUUCUUUUAACAAUAAAAAAGAACAAGAAAAAAAGGGCAAAGCUUGAAAAGUUGGAACCUUGCCUCAACUUUUGAGAGUUAAAAUUCCUGAAUAUUGGGUUAGAUCGAUCACACCAUUAUGUGUAUGUAGAUUUGUUCGCAUAAUCCUUGUUGCUCUAGUUUUUUUUAAUUAAAAAAAAAGACAUUCCUCAUCAAAUACUUGUAUAUUUUGUUUAAUAAUUUUCCCAGAUGUUAAGAGUGUAGCAUUUUUUUCGUUAAAAAUCUGAUAGCCAAGACUUGAAAAAUAAAUAGUUUGAAUCGUUGAAAACAAAAUUUGUUGGAACCUAAAACGUGUCCCUUAACUAAUUAUUUGAAGCUAUUAUGAUCAUUGACAUCCUCCAUUUCCACACCUCCAUGUAACCCCCAAGCUACAUUCUAGAAACAAUGCGAUACCUCCAGAGGCCAAAUGGCACCAUGUCACUUGAUCCGAGUCAUUUUAUAGUAAGGAUCUAAGAGCAUCCAUAAUAGUUGUUCAAUAAUUCAAUGCAAUAGUUCAAUAAAUAUAACUAUUUUUGCAUCUAUUGAAUUGAAUUAUAGUUUUACUUGCAAUGGUAUAGUUCAAUAGCUUCAAAUCAAUUUACAUACUCAAAUAAAAUAAAAUAGAGAAAUAAAAUAACAUUAAAAAUUGUGCAAUUUAAAUAUUCAAAGAGAUCUUUAAAAAGAGAAUAAUUUUAAAUAUUUGAAUUAUUAUUAUUUUUUUUUGGAAAAAAUCUUCCUUCGGCAUGCAAAGUCUUUAGUCGCGGGCCCGCACCAUAGAAUUCUUGCACUUGACCUCCACGCUCAUUUUUCUGGGGCUCAUCCGCUUCGUACUAUAUAUCCAAACUCAAACCCACAAUCCCUUCUCUCAAGAAGCUCUUCUUCUCCUUCUCCAUCUCAACAGCAAUGGCUUCUGCUUCUCCUGCUAAGAAGGUAACGACCACCACUGUUCAGCUCUUUUUUUGAUUUCGACUAUUUUUUUGUGUGUGUGUGUGUGUUUGUAAGAGUGAGAUUGAGUGUGAAAGUGGAAGCAGGUUUUGGUUCCGAUUGCGAAUGCCACGGAGCGGAUUGAGGCGGUGACCAUCAUCGACGUUCUGCGUAGAGCUGGAGCAGAUGUUACUGUGGCUUCUGUGGAGAAGCAGCUUCGCGUUGAAGCCUGCAAUGGCGUGAUCAUCUCUGAUGUUUUGAUUUCCGAUUGUAGCAAAAGUGACUUCGAUCUCAUCGCUCUACCCGUACAUACUUACUCUCUCUCUCUCUCUCUCUCUCUCUCUCUCUCUCUCUCUCUAUAUAUAUAUAUAUAUAUCAUUGUGUUUGUAUUAGAACUUUGAAUUUUGCAGCUUGUUUGGUUGCUGACAAAAGUAGACAUGAAAAUGAAAAUUUUUGCUAACAUUACUUAUUACUUAUCCACAAAACAAGAAAACACAAGAAUAUUGUGGAACAAACUUGGGAUUUUUUUAGUUUGUAGUUCGCGAUUGAGAGCAGAUGAAAGUGAGUUCGUAGUUCGCUAACUUGUAUUUAGUUUUGUUGAGUGUAGGCUUUUGGUUGCUCAUGCCCAAUGACCAUAGAUAUAUAUGCAUAAGAUUACAUGUGUUGCUUAAUGGCACUAUUUUAUUUUCCAAGCAAUGUCCCAGUGCACCCAAACUGCCAAUUAAAGGGAUGUUUUCGUGUAACUUCGAUGUCAUCCAUAACAUAUCAGGGUUGGAGGAACUCUUAUUAUCUUCGUUUGCUUGUAUUAUUCCUUCUCUCCAGCUUCUCUUAUUGUGCUUUAUUGCUUGCUUAUUGCAAUGUGCUGACUCCUCUUUAGUUUAGCUCCAACUGAAUUUGACUUUAUCUAUUUUUUUGGUGCUACAGGGAGGUGUUCUAGGUGCUGCCAAUCUUAAGAAUAAUGAGGUUCUGGAAAGCUUGGUGAAGAAGCAGGCCGCAGAUGGGAAGCUCUAUGCGGCGAUCUGUGCUUCACCUGCAAUGGCAUUUGGAACAUGGGGUGUGUUGAAAGAACUGAAAGUAAGAUCUCUUAGCACGCACCUGCCAAUAUUUCAUUAUUUGUUAUGUAUGCAUAUUAAAAUUAUAAAUUGCAUUGGUUUUUGACAGGCAACUGGCCAUCCAUUAUUUAUGGAGCAAUUAGCAUCUAGCGCAAUCGCUGUUGAAUCAAGAGUGCAGGUGGAUGGCAAAGCUGUGACUAGUCGUGGACCGGGUACUGCCAUGGAGUUUGCUGUUGCCCUGGUUGAGCAAUUGUAUGGGAAAGAAAAGGCUGAUGAAGUAUCUGAUUUCCUGGUAUAUACUUUCUCAAUAUCCUUCUUUUUGGCUGGUUGUCAUAUUCUACUGGUGGAUUUCUUGUCAAUUGAUUUCAAAGCCAUUCGUUGUCUGGGAAAAUGAAAAUAAAUAUGAUCUGCUAUGAUCUCGCUUUCACCUGUUACCUUUGGGCUUGUGAUAUGCGUGUGUAACUGUAUUUUUUGUACUCAGGUCAUGCGUUCCAACCACGGGGAUGAAUACAUCAUAACUGAGCUAAACCCAGUUGAGUGGACUCCCAAUGAUUCCCCAAAGGUGAACAUUUGAUUUACAUAUGCAAAUUUGCCUAAGAUUAUUUCAGGUUUCCACAAGUUACCUAUGAAUUGAGAGUGGUAGUAAAAAUUUCGCAAAUGAGCAACGAUAAUUUGGGACAUGACAGUAAGAAUUAUUGACUUGACUUAAGGUGCUAUAUAAUGUAGUGUAUAAACUCUUUCGUGUGUUUUAUCCUUUAGAUUCUUGUACCUAUUGCAAACGGCACAGAGGAAAUGGAAGCUGUUAUGAUCAUUGAUAUUCUACGACGAGCCAAAGCAAAUGUUGUGGUGGCCUCUGUGGAGGAUCAACUAGAAAUUCUUGCUUCUUGCAAAGUAAAACUGGAGGCAGAUGUGCUCCUUGACGAAGCUGCCAAACUUUCAUAUGACCUAAUUGUUUUGCCUGUAAGUAGGGUUUCCAGCUCGCUUUUGUUUACUAUUUACAAAUUGAUAAGCCUAAACCUAAUUUUUUUUUUUUUUAACCCUUCAGGGUGGACUUAGUAGUGCACCAACAUUUGCAAAAUCAGAAAAGCUCGUGAAUAUGUUAAAAAAGCAGAGGGAUUCACAGAGACCUUAUGGAGCCAUAUGUGCCUCCCCAGCUCUAGUUUUGGAACCCCAUGGCUUACUCAAGGUAUCCCCUAUAAAAUGUUUUGAGAACUAACCAUUAUGCUUCUUGCAUUGUACAAACUCAUUACAAGAACUUAUUUUAUUUUCCUUUCAAUCCAGGGUAAAAAGGCCACAGCGUUCCCCCCAGUGUCCGACAAGCUGUCGGAUACGAGUGAAAUCGAGAAAAGGGUAGUGAUUGAUGGCAACCUCAUCACCAGCAAAGGAGCAGGAACUUCCAUGGAGUUUGCUCUAGGAAUUGUUGAGAAGUUUUUCGGGCGCAAGGAAGCAAUAGAGAGUGCGAAGAUAAUGGUUUUCGUUCAUCCUUAGAGUUUAUAUUCG
Molecule: long non-coding RNA, 7099 nt
Filed under: Prunus persica (peach)
Lineage: Eukaryota; Viridiplantae; Streptophyta; Magnoliopsida; Rosales; Rosaceae
Description: long non-coding RNA (PPER_LNC004129)
Source: RNAcentral